AAGCAGAGCUCUGUGCCCUGUGUGCCUGGCUGCGGGAGGACCCAGAGUCGGGCUGGCCUGCGCCAGGCAGACAGGCUGGUGUGGGGCUGUGGCCGGGCACUCUCCACCCGCCCCAGCAGGCUGCCGUCCCGCAGGAGCGAGUCCCGAGGCGCCGUGCGCAUCAAGGUGCUGGACGUGCUGUCCUUUGUGCUGCUCAUCAACAGGCAGUUCUAUGAGGAGGAGCUGAUUAACUCAGUGGUCAUCUCGCAGCUCUCCCACAUCCCCGAGGAUAAAGACCACCAGGUCCGAAAGCUGGCCACCCAGUUGCUGGUGGACCUGGCAGAGGGCUGCCACACACACCACUUCAACAGCCUGCUGGACAUCAUCGAGAAGGUGAUGGCCCGCUCCCUCUCCCCACCCCCGGAGCUGGAAGAAAGGGAUGUGGCCGCAUACUCGGCCUCCUUGGAGGAUGUGAAGACAGCCGUCCUGGGGCUUCUGGUCAU
This 482-nucleotide small RNA is filed under the name Pan troglodytes (chimpanzee). RNAcentral's name for it is "retained intron". The record is from RNAcentral. Lineage: Eukaryota; Metazoa; Chordata; Mammalia; Primates; Hominidae.